RNAcentral lists this ribosomal RNA (969 nucleotides) under uncultured bacterium. Its description in RNAcentral is "bacterial SSU rRNA". It matches the Rfam family "Bacterial small subunit ribosomal RNA", at positions 110 to 1098 of the family's 1533-position model. The record is from RNAcentral.
GUAAUAUAUAGAUAACGUGCCUCUUAGUCUGGGAUAGCCAUUGGAAACGAUGAUUAAUACCGGAUACUCCUUCUAACUCUAAUGUUAGUCGGGAAAGUUUUUCGCUAAGAGAUCGGUCUAUAUCCCAUCAGUUAGUUGGUAAGGUAACGGCUUACCAAGGCAAUGACGGGUAGCGGGUUUGAGAGGAUGAUCCGCCACACUGGUACUGAGACACGGACCAGACUCCUACGGGAGGCAGCAGUGAGGAAUAUUGCACAAUGGGGGAAACCCUGAUGCAGCAACGCCGCGUGGAGGAUGACGCAUUUCGGUGUGUAAACUCCUUUUAUGAGUCAAGAAAAUGACGGUAGCUCAUGAAUAAGCACCGGCUAACUCCGUGCCAGCAGCCGCGGUAAUACGGAGGGUGCAAGCGUUACUCGGAAUCACUGGGCGUAAAGGACGCGUAGGCGGGAUGCCAAGUCUGAUGUGAAAUCCUAUGGCUUAACCAUAGAACUGCAUUGGAAACUGGUAACCUAGAGUAUGGGAGGGGGAGAUGGAAUUAGUGGUGUAGGGGUAAAAUCCGUAGAUAUCACUAGGAAUACCGAAAGCGAAGGCGAUCUCCUGGAACAUAACUGACGCUAAGGCGUGAAAGCGUGGGGAGCAAACGGGAUUAGAUACCCCGGUAGUCCACGCCCUAAACGAUGAACACUAGUCGUCGCUCUGCUUGUCAGGGCGGUGAUGCACUUAACAGAUUAAGUGUUCCGCCUGGGGAGUACGGUCGCAAGAUUAAAACUCAAAGGAAUAGACGGGGACCCGCACAAGUGGUGGAGCAUGUGGUUUAAUUCGAAGAUACGCGAAAAACCUUACCUGGCCUUGACAUUGAUAGAAUCCAGCAGAGAUGCAGGGGUGCCCUUCGGGGAGCUUGAAAACAGGUGCUGCACGGCUGUCGUCAGCUCGUGUCGUGAGAUGUUGGGUUAAGUCCCGCAACGAGCG